GGGAAAUANAUCCCCCUCAGUGA
This 23-nucleotide transfer RNA is filed under the name Urosaurus nigricauda. RNAcentral describes it as "partial tRNA-Lys". Lineage: Eukaryota; Metazoa; Chordata; Lepidosauria; Squamata; Phrynosomatidae. The record is from RNAcentral.